GGCGAGGUAGCUCAGUCGGUUUAGAGCAUCGGAUUCAUAACCCGAAGGUCGGGGGUUCGAGUCCCCCUCUCGCUA
RNAcentral lists this transfer RNA (75 nucleotides) under Candidatus Cardinium hertigii. RNAcentral's name for it is "tRNA-Met". It matches the Rfam family "tRNA". Rfam says of the family: Transfer RNA (tRNA) molecules are approximately 80 nucleotides in length. Their secondary structure includes four short double-helical elements and three loops (D, anti-codon, and T loops). The record is from RNAcentral. Lineage: Bacteria; Pseudomonadati; Bacteroidota; Cytophagia; Cytophagales; Amoebophilaceae.